Molecule: ribosomal RNA, 228 nt
Filed under: uncultured bacterium
Lineage: Bacteria
Description: partial 16S ribosomal RNA
Rfam family: Bacterial small subunit ribosomal RNA
Source: RNAcentral
CGGGUGAGUAAUGCUUGGGAAUAUGCCUUGAGGUGGGGGACAACAGUUGGAAACGACUGCUAAUACCGCAUAAUGUCUACGGACCAAAGAGGGGGACCUUCGGGCCUCUUGCCUUUAGAUUAGCCCAAGUGAGAUUAGCUAGAUGGUGGGGUAAUGGCCUACCAUGGCGACGAUCUCUAGCUGGUUUGAGAGGAUGAUCAGCCACACUGGGACUGAGACACGGCCCAG